This 253-nucleotide ribosomal RNA is filed under the name uncultured bacterium. Its description in RNAcentral is "partial 16S ribosomal RNA". It matches the Rfam family "Bacterial small subunit ribosomal RNA", at positions 524 to 776 of the family's 1533-position model. The record is from RNAcentral.
UACGGGGGGGGCAAGCGUUGUUCGGAAUUACUGGGCGUAAAGGGCUCGUAGGUGGCCAACUAAGUCAGACGUGAAAUCCCUCAGCUUAACUGGGGAACUGCGUCUGAUACUGGAUGGCUUGAGUUUGGGAGAGGGAUGCGGAAUUCCAGGUGUAGCGGUGAAAUGCGUAGAUAUCUGGAGGAACACCGAAGGCGAAGGCAGUGUCCUGGGGAGUACCUGACGCUCAGGUGCGAAAGCCAGGGGAGCGAACGGG